RNAcentral lists this long non-coding RNA (459 nucleotides) under Struthio camelus australis. RNAcentral describes it as "lncRNA (ENSSCUG00000000682.1)". The record is from RNAcentral. Lineage: Eukaryota; Metazoa; Chordata; Aves; Struthioniformes; Struthionidae.
CUUGAAAGGCAUACCUCGUCCUAGGGUAGUCAUCAGCAGUGGAUAAGAGUCUUUCUCCUUGUUAGUUGCUGAUUUCUGCUUGGUCGCACUUCCACUGCUGUCAGCUGCAGUCCGAGAGGGUGCAGCCCAGCUUGCAUGGUGCCAGAAAACUCCCAACCUGCUGACGCAUUUUCUACUGGCUUCCCUCUGCAACUCAGCUACUUGUUGUAACUCCUAUUCCUGCAUGCUUGAUCCUCUGCUCCCUGUAAAGGCAGUUUGGUGAAGUCCAGUCCCAGAACCAGGCUCCUAAGAAGGCUGGCUGUGGCACUGCUGGGAAUUGCCACAUGGAUCUCAGACCAGGCUUUUGUGUGGAAACAAGGUAAGUCACCCUGAAAUUCCUGACUUCAUAAAGGUUUGUCUCUCUCAUCAUACAGGCUCAGCAAUUUAGUUUGAAAAAUCCUGGAAACUGAAAGAUUAUAU